RNAcentral lists this ribosomal RNA (482 nucleotides) under uncultured bacterium. RNAcentral describes it as "partial 16S ribosomal RNA". It matches the Rfam family "Bacterial small subunit ribosomal RNA", at positions 30 to 507 of the family's 1533-position model. The record is from RNAcentral.
AUUGAACGCUGGCGGCAUCCCUUACACAUGCAAGUCGAACGGUAACGGGCCUUCGGGUGCCGACGAGUGGCGAACGGGUGAGUAAUACAUCGGAACGUGCCCGAUCGUGGGGGAUAACGAGGCGAAAGCUUUGCUAAUACCGCAUACGAUCUACGGAUGAAAGCAGGGGACCGCAAGGCCUUGCGCGGACGGAGCGGCCGAUGGCAGAUUAGGUAGUUGGUGGGAUAAAAGCUUACCAAGCCGACGAUCUGUAGCUGGUCUGAGAGGAUGAUCAGCCACACUGGGACUGAGACACGGCCCAGACUCCUACGGGAGGCAGCAGUGGGGAAUUUUGGACAAUGGGCGCAAGCCUGAUCCAGCCAUGCCGCGUGCAGGAUGAAGGCCUUCGGGUUGUAAACUGCUUUUGUACGGAACGAAAAGCCUUCUUUUAAUACAGGAGGGUCAUGACGGUACCGUAAGAAUAAGCACCGGCUAACUACGUG